AGCUGCUAGUGGAGUCCCGCUGCUUGGCGGGCUCUCGGUCGGGUUCCCGCGCCGGGCAAGGGGCGGCUGAGGAAGCAGGAGCGGUCUUUAGCCCCUCCAGCGGCAACCCCAGGCCCCGGCCUGGUGGAAGAUAUGAAGAGAAAUGCAAUUGGUUUCCACAGGGCUACGGGUCAAAGCGGCUGCCAAGGCCUGUCCCCUAGAAGUCAGGACCCCUUCGUCCUCCGCUCACCUGGCGGCCAGCUCCUGGCGUUUCCGGACACUUAGAUUCCUGCCUGCUUGGGAAAGCGAUCAGAAAAAGGUUGCCCUUCUCACCGCUCUGCUGAACAGCGACGGCUUCAGAAACGCAUCCCAUCCAAGAGUCACUGGCUUGUAACAUGAAGCAACUUUUUUUUUUUUAAUACGGGGUCUCGCUCUGUUGCCCAGGCUGCUGGAGUGCAGUGGCACGGUCUCGGCUCACUGCAAUCUCCGCCUCCCAGACUCAAGCGAUUCUCCUGCCUCAGCCUCCCAAGUAGCUGGGAUUACAAGCACCCGCAACCACACCUGGCUAAUUUUUGUAUUUUUAUUAGAGACAGGGUUUCACCUAAGCAACUUUUUUAUAUAGAAUCUUGCGAAACCGUUUGCAAGAUACCCUUGCUGAUCGCUGUGG
Molecule: long non-coding RNA, 646 nt
Filed under: Homo sapiens (human)
Lineage: Eukaryota; Metazoa; Chordata; Mammalia; Primates; Hominidae
Description: HSALNT0290429
Source: RNAcentral